This 82-nucleotide transfer RNA is filed under the name Octopus vulgaris (common octopus). It matches the Rfam family "tRNA". Rfam says of the family: Transfer RNA (tRNA) molecules are approximately 80 nucleotides in length. Their secondary structure includes four short double-helical elements and three loops (D, anti-codon, and T loops). Further hydrogen bonds mediate the characteristic L-shaped molecular structure. tRNAs have two regions of fundamental functional importance: the anti-codon, which is responsible for specific mRNA codon recognition, and the 3' end, to which the tRNAs corresponding amino acid is attached (by aminoacyl-tRNA synthetases). tRNAs cope with the degeneracy of the genetic code in two manners: having more than one tRNA (with a specific anti-codon) for a particular amino acid; and 'wobble' base-pairing, i.e. permitting non-standard base-pairing at the 3rd anti-codon position. RNAcentral also lists the same sequence under 1 other name. Lineage: Eukaryota; Metazoa; Mollusca; Cephalopoda; Octopoda; Octopodidae. The record is from Rfam by way of RNAcentral.
GUCAUCGUGGCUGAGUGGUUACGGCGAUGAACUAAAAAUCCAUUGGGGUUUCCCCACGUAGGUUCGAAUCCUACUGGCGACG